GAUGAACGCUGGCGGCGUGCCUAAUACAUGCAAGUCGAGCGAACGGACGAGAAGCUUGCUUCUCUGAUGUUAGCGGCGGACGGGUGAGUAACACGUGGAUAACCUACCUAUAAGACUGGGAUAACUUCGGGAAACCGGAGCUAAUACCGGAUGAUAUUUUGAACCGCAUGGUUCAAAAGUGAAAGACGGUCUUGCUGUCACUUAUAGAUGGAUCCGCGCUGCAUUAGCUAGUUGGUAAGGUAACGGCUUACCAAGGCAACGAUGCAUAGCCGACCUGAGAGGUUGAUCGGCCACACUGGAACUGAGACACGGUCCAGACUCCUACGGGAGGCAGCAGUAGGGAAUCUUCCGCAAUGGGCGAAAGCCUGACGGAGCAACGCCGCGUGAGUGAUGAAGGUCUUCGGAUCGUAAAACUCUGUUAUUAGGGAAGAACAUAUGUGUAAGUAACUGUGCACAUCUUGACGGUACCUAAUCAGAAAGCCACGGCUAACUACGUG
RNAcentral lists this ribosomal RNA (497 nucleotides) under uncultured bacterium. RNAcentral describes it as "partial 16S ribosomal RNA". It matches the Rfam family "Bacterial small subunit ribosomal RNA", at positions 28 to 507 of the family's 1533-position model. The record is from RNAcentral.